RNAcentral lists this ribosomal RNA (476 nucleotides) under uncultured bacterium. RNAcentral's name for it is "partial 16S ribosomal RNA". It matches the Rfam family "Bacterial small subunit ribosomal RNA", at positions 28 to 523 of the family's 1533-position model. The record is from RNAcentral.
GACGAACGCUGGCGGCGUGCUUAACACAUGCAAGUCGAACGGUAAGGCCUUCGGGUACACGAGUGGCGAACGGGUGAGUAACACGUGGGUGAUCUGCCCCCUACUCUGGGAUAAGCCUGGGAAACUGGGUCUAAUACCGGAUAUGACCUCCUUCUGCAUGGGUGGUGGUGUAAAGUUUUUUCGGUAGGGGAUGAGCCCGCGGCCUAUCAGCGUGUGGGUGGGGUACUGGCCUACCAAGGCGACGACGGGUAGCCGGCCUGAGAGGGCGACCGGGCACACUGGGACUGAGACACGGCCCAGACUCCUACGGGAGGCAGCGGUGGGGAAUAUUGCACAAUGGGCGAAAGCCUGAUGCAGCGACGCCGCGUGGGGGAUGACGGCCUUCGGGUUGUAAACCCCUUUCAGUCGGGACGAAGCGAGAGUGACGGUACCGAUAGAAGAAGCACCGGCCAACUACGUGCCAGCAGCCGCCGUAA